This 253-nucleotide ribosomal RNA is filed under the name uncultured bacterium. Its description in RNAcentral is "partial 16S ribosomal RNA". It matches the Rfam family "Bacterial small subunit ribosomal RNA", at positions 524 to 776 of the family's 1533-position model. The record is from RNAcentral.
GACAGAGGGGGCAAGCGUUGCUCGGAAUUACUGGGCGUAAAGGGCGCGUAGGCGGGAUGGCAAGUCGGUCGUGAAAGCCUUCGGCUCAACCGAAGAACGUCGGCCGAUACUGCCGUUCUUGAGGGAGGCAGAGGAGACUGGAAUUCCCGGUGUAGCGGUGAAAUGUGUAGAGAUCGGGAGGAACACCGAUGGCGAAGGCAGCCAUCUGGACCGACACUGACGCUGAGGCGCGAAAGCGUGGGGAGCAAACAGG